Molecule: transfer RNA, 66 nt
Filed under: Coraebus diminutus
Lineage: Eukaryota; Metazoa; Arthropoda; Insecta; Coleoptera; Buprestidae
Description: tRNA-Asn
Source: RNAcentral
UUAAUCGAAACCAAAGCAGAGGUAAAUCACUGUUAAUGAUAAAAUUGAAAUAAAUUUCCGAUUAAA